UACAGGGGUCUCAAGCGUUGUUCGGAUUCAUUGGGCGUAAAGGGUGCGUAGGCGGCGCGGUAAGUCGGGUGUGAAAUCUCGGAGCUUAACUCCGAAACUGCAUUCGAUACUGCCGUGCUGGAGGACUGGAGAGGAGACUGGAAUUUACGGUGUAGCGGUGAAAUGCGUAGAUAUCGUAAGGAAGACCAGUGGCGAAGGCGGGUCUCUGGACAGUUACUGACACUGAGGCACGAAGGCCAGGGGAGCAAACGGG
This 253-nucleotide ribosomal RNA is filed under the name uncultured bacterium. RNAcentral's name for it is "partial 16S ribosomal RNA". It matches the Rfam family "Bacterial small subunit ribosomal RNA", at positions 524 to 776 of the family's 1533-position model. The record is from RNAcentral.